GGUUGCCUGGGACACCCUCAGGGCAGGGCCCCGGGGUCUUAGGUUUGGCCACUGAUACUAGGGACUGGCCAGAGAGCACAGCUGUCAGCUCCAAUGCCAAGGACUGAAGUUUGGCCUCUCCCAGAGUCUGCAGACGCAGCUGACUCUCCGGGGAGCCCUCAGGGUCCCAGGCUCCGUCCUGCUCUGCCAUCCCUAGGACGAGCUCUAUCGUCUCUCCUUCCAGGAGGACAACAUCUUCAGCCCAAACAGCAGUCCAGCUCUCUGCUGUGGCCUGGGAAAGCAGUAGAAGAUGACCCAACUCCUUGGGCCCCUGUACCUGUGUGGAAGACCUGGAAGAAGCUCCUGGCUCCUGGCUUCGGAUCGGCUCAGCUCUGGCCAUUGCAGUCAUUUGAGGAGUGAACCAGCAGAAUGGAAGACCUCUCUCUCUGGCUCUACUUCUCUCUGUAACUCCUGUCUUUCAAAAUAAAUAAAAUAAUUCUUUAAAAAAAAAAAAAAGGAGUCAGAGUUGGGCCAGGCCAACCCAGGAGUCAGGAACUCAGCCCAAGUCUCCCACAUGGGGUGCAGGGACCUCAGCAUUUGAGCCAUUACCUGCUGCCUCCCGGGGUGCACAUUAACAGAAAGCCACAUUGAAAUCAGAACCAAGGGGCCGGUGCUGUGGCGCUGCGGUAAAGCCACCACCUGCCAUGCUGGCAUCCCAUAUGAGCACAGGUUGGAGUCCCGGCUGCUCCACUUCCGAUCCGGCUCCCUGCUAAUGGCCUGAGGAAAGCAAUGGAAGAUGAUGGCCCAAGUGCUUGGGCCCCUGCCACCCAUGUGGGAGACCCGGAUGAAGCUCCUGGCUUUGGCCUCGCCCAACCUCGGCCAUUGCAGCCUUGUGGGGAGUCAACCAGCAGGUGGAAGAUGUCUCUUUGUCUCUCUCUGUCUCUCCUUCUCUCUGUUAAGUCUGACUUUCAAAUAAAUAAAUAAAUAAAUCUUAAAAAGAAAUCAGAGCCAGGACUUGAACCCAGGCACUCUGCUAUUGGCUGGGUG
Molecule: non-coding RNA, 1026 nt
Organism: Oryctolagus cuniculus (rabbit)
Lineage: Eukaryota; Metazoa; Chordata; Mammalia; Lagomorpha; Leporidae
Source: RefSeq, a predicted model, not a curated record